This is a long non-coding RNA of Leopardus geoffroyi (Geoffroy's cat), 6177 nucleotides long. RefSeq lists it as uncharacterized. NCBI's taxonomy places the organism in Eukaryota, Metazoa, Chordata, Mammalia, Carnivora, Felidae. The record is from RefSeq and is a predicted model, not a curated record. The transcript has 2 exons.
GCCCCUCCCCUGCUUGUGUUCUUUCUUUCUCUCUCUCUCUCUCUCUCUCUCUCUCUCUCUCUCUCUCAGCAUAAAUAUAUAGAGAGAGCUGAAGGAACAGACAAUAUCCAGCACCCUCCUUUAACUGCUCUGCCUGUACACCCAUCCUCUUGCCUCUUUUGAGAUUUAUACACAACAAACUUUUCUUGUACAAAGUACACUUAAUCUCUCCCCCCAAAGAAAGACAAAACAUCCCACCAGUCACUAUGAACAUCUGGAUGAUGAGAAUUUUAGUUGAGACAAUCCCCCUGGAGGAUAUUUUAUCAUCUUGAGUCUCAAUUAUAAAUCAGUCACCACCAAAGCGUUUAUAUUUAACAGAAGAGAGAGGGAAGGUGAUUAACAAGUGAAAAUAUGUAGGAAAGCAACAGCUGGCAUUGUCCUCAUUGUUAUAAAUCAUAUGGCUAUCUCUCACCUUGUUUUCACAGCCCAGAUCAUUUUCUUGUUGCCCUCAGUCAGCAUCUUAGCUGGCUGGGGUUUUUUACCUAGUGAGGAGACCCUACCCUUCAUUCCUGAAGUAUCUAUGUCCUUAUUGAUUCUUCCUUCGGUGAGUUACUGUAGCCUUCUAUUAACUUUGAACAGCUGAACGUAGAAGCACUACGGAAGCACUCGAGAGAGUGCCCUCCACUGCUUAGCAACAGCCAUAUUUCCCUUGACAAUUGUGACCAAGCACCCCAGUCAAUACAGUAACCCCUUACUUUUCCCCUUGGUUCAGUGGCACAAGCACCCUAAAUGCCCAAGUGCAAGUCACACUUUCCAGUUCAUGGAGAGCACUGGUUUCCUAAUGGACACAUUCCUCCCUUGGGACUCAACCAGCAGAUCCCAAAGUUUCAAGUACAGAAGCCAAAAUUCUGUGAGUGGGGUUAUUAGAUGUAUUAUUGAGAAGAGUCAUUCUUCCUAUUCCCCAAGCCCUGCUUGAUUCCUGGAUCCUUUGAUUCAGUGGACAACUCACUAGCAAAGAGCAUUCCUAAUGCCCAAAUUGUAGUUUAUAAAUACCAUUCACACUUUUAAAACAACAACAACAAAACCCACCUCCUUGGAGAAUGGCUAAUUAAAGGUAAGGGAUGAGAAAUAUAGAGAACUCGGAAAGGCUUCUUGUUUCAGAAAAUAAGGCCGUUAUCAGAAACUCCUGGAGUCAAGUCAAAAAGACACAGAGCUUUGGGGAUUUUAAAGCCUAACUUUAAAGGGCUCUCACUAGCUUUAGCAGGCUGCAUAAUGGCCACCAAUGAUAUCAGGUCCUAAUCUUUGAAAGAUGUGUUUCCUUAUACUGCAAAAAUUUUGCAAACGUGACUAAGGAUUUUGAAAUGGAGAGAACACGGGAUAGUCAGGGUGUGCCCUAAAUGCAAUUAUACAUCUCUUUUAUGAGAGGGAUGCAUAAGAAGAUUUGAGACACAAAAGAGAAAGCCAUAUGACCACAGAGGUUGAGGUUGGAGUAACGUGGCUACAAGCCAAGGAUGGCUGGCAGGUACCAGAAGGUAGAAGAGGCAAGGACCACAUUCACCCCUACAGCCUUCACAGGGAUCACAGCCUUGCCAACACCUGGAUUUUAACCCAGUGAAACUGAUUUUGGGUUUCUGGCCUCCAGGACUGUGAAACAAUAAAAUUUCUGUUAUUUACAGCCACCAAAUUUGUGACAAUUUGGUACAGUAGCCACAGGAAAAUAAUACACUAGCCAAAAACGGAGCAUUUCAAGCAUCAAAAUAAUUGAAGUGCAUCACAGCAUAUAAAGUAUGUUUUUAAGCCACAGGUUCAAAAUGAUACCAACACCUUCCCUAUGUAUGUAAAUUUGCUGCUAGCUAAACUGUUCAGUGUUCUAAAAGCGGAUAAUGGGAAAUAACUGUACCUCACUGGAAUAAGAGAGUUAUGAAAAAUUUGUGCUUUAUAAAAAUGUGAACGAUUUGUAGAAUUAAGAGGUUUCCAUUUUACAGUUCAUUAUGAAAUAAUAUCAACGAUCAUCAAUGACUGCUAAAACGAUUAGGUCGAAAGGUUAUGGGGAAUUUAUAAUCAUGCUGACAACGUCCAAACCCCACAGUUCAGUCCCAUCAUUUUAAAAACACACACACACACACACACACACACACAAAACGAUGUUAUGUACCUCCUGCUGGGAUACAACAGGAAAUACAAAAUACCAACCAUGACAUUUUCUUGGCAAAAUUUCAAAACUGGAUCAGGCUCCCCCAGAUCCGAAUACCAGUUUAUAAGAAGUAUUGGGGAGAGAAAUAUGUUAAAUGAAAGAACUGAUAGCAUCCUAUAAGCAGAAUCCACAAUGUGAGGGAAAAUGUAGAGGGAAAAGACCUACCUUGUUCAACAAAUUGCCAAAAAGACCAAAAAGGAGGAAGGGGAAAUUUAUAAUUAAAGAUUUAAGAGAGUUCAAAUGUUACCGUUUCUGUAAACCUUUAAUAGACUCCUUGAAAUAGAACAAAUCCCUCACUUCAAAGCAAUCCCAACACAUCAAGAACUUGACACUCCACUAUGCCCCUUUUCCCUAUUCCAGGAUCCCCCCUUCCCCUUCCACCUUACUCAGAUUCACUUCCAUGGUCAUCAUUAUGAUCACUCUCUCGCACAUAACAUAAGCUCCUUUGCCCCCUCUCAUACUUGCUUGGGUAGAUCACACACCCGAGUAAAUCCUACUCUGUAUGCCUGUCCUCUAGCAGCUGAACGUGGAUGAAUAGCUGAUUUCUUUUUAGACUCACCCUCCUUAAUGUCACUGGAACCUUAAUGCUGCCUGGCAGUUUUUUCCCCUUGGUCUGGCUUCUUUUCCAGUUUCCAAUUUGAAACAAUUAUACCUUUUCCUCUUUCCAAACACCUCCAAAAUCUCCUCCAUCCUCAUCUGAUAAAGUCAUCUUGCUCGAUAUUUCACUGAAUUAAAUAAAGGUAGUAAGAGAACUUCCAAGACAUCUAAAUGACUAAUAAACAUACGAAAAGCUACGACACAUGCAAAUUAAAACUGUACAACCUGGUACCACUACCACUCACCAGAACGGUUAAAAUGACAGUAGAAAUACAGGCAUUCCUCAGACAUUUUGUGGCUCGGGCUCCAGACCACUGCAAUGAAACAGCUAUCACAAAAAAACAAGUCAAAUUAAUUUUUUGGUUGCCCAGUGCAUAUAAAAGUUACAAUUAUGCUACACUGUGGUCUAUGGUGUGUGCAAUAGCAUUAUGCCUUAAAAAAAAAAAAAAAAAAAAAAAAAAAAAAAAAAAAAGAGCAUAGACCUUAAUUUGAAAAUACUUUAUCGUUAAGAAUAAAUGCUAACCAUCAUCUGGGCUUUCAGCAAGUUGUCAGGUUUUGGCUGGUGGAGGGUCUUGCCUCGAUGUUGAUGGCUGCUGCGUGACCAGGGUGGUGGUUGCUAGGAUGUCUGUGGCAGUUUCUUAAAAUAAGACAACAAUGGAGUUGGCCACAUCAUUCACUCUUCCUUUCACAAUUUCUCUGUAGCCUGUGAUGCUGUUGGAUAGCAUUUUACCCAGAAAACUUCUUCCAAAAGGAGUCAAUCCUCUGGUUGCUGCUUUGUCAACUAAAUUUAUGUACUCAACACUUUGUUGUCAUUUCAACAAUCUUCGCAGCAUCUUCACCAGUCGAUUCCAUCUCGAGAAACCACUCAUCACCAUAACAAAUACAAUAAUAAUGAAAAAGUUUGAAGCACCUCAAGAAUUACCAAAACAUGACAAGGACACAGUGAACAAAUCCUAUUGGAAAAAUGGCACCCAAAGACUCCCUCAACAUAGGAUUGCCACAAACCUUCCAGGUGUGAAAAAGAGAAGCACAAUUCAGUGAAACUCAAUAAAACAAGGUGCAAUGUUAAUGAAAGAAGAGAGAAACCGAACUCUACAAGCUCCCACUGCUUCAUGGAACUGUCCACGUGCAUCUGAGCCCCUUCACUGGCCUUCGCUCCUGUUACUGUGGGUGUUCCAUCAAAGAUAGGCUUUGCCUCCUGUGCCCUACAGAAUUACCCCCUCUCUUGCUAAGAAUGCCACUCUGGCAGGUCUCCCAUCUCAUUCCCACACCUUUUCUCUCGACUAGAUUUUUCCCAUCAACCUACAGACAUACUAUCACUUUUCUACUGUCUAAGACAACCUUCUCAACCUUCGGUUGCUGUAGUUUUUUUCCCCUUCUCUUGGGCUAGAGCAAAACUCAAAUGAUUGUAUGCACUGAAUGCCAAUUUGUUCUAAUACCCUCUUUGAACCACUCCAGUCAUGUUCUCACCUCCACACUCCACAAACACAGAUCUUCUCAUCCAGGUCACCUCCACAUUGUUCAGCCCGGUGGCCACUUCUUCAUCGCCGUCUUCCGUGAUUUUCCGCCGUUUUGAGGCUUAAUCGUCAACUCCCUCUUUCCCAGAUCACUUUCUCCUUCAGGCUUCCAGAAUACUGAGCACCCAUGUUGCCCUCUACCACACUACUAGCUGCUCCUUUCCAACUUUCUUAUAUGGUUCCUCUUGACAUCUCUGGCCUCUCAUUUGGGAGAUCCCCAGAGUUCAUCCAGGGGCUUAGUGUCCAUCCAUGUUUUCUCCUCUGGGGCUCAUAUGCAGCAUCAUGUACACACUGCGUAAGUGGAGGAACACCAACGAAAUGUCUCCAGCCCAGACCUCUCUCCCGAACUCAGGCUCCUGACACAUCUGUCUCCCAGCGUUUCUACCUAGAUGUCUAACAGGCAUCUCCAAUUUUCUAUGUGCAACAUCAAACUCCGGAUCUGCCCCUAAAAACCCACUCUUUCACAGGUUUCCCAUCUUGGUUAACGGAAACUCUAUCCUUCUGACUCCUCACCAGGACAAAACCCUCGGAGACAUUCUUGACUCCACCAUUUCUCUCCUAAACAAACUCAGUCUGUCAGCAGGUCCUCAAACAGAACCGCGAAAGCAUUUCUAGAAUCGGACCACUCUCACCAUUUCUACUUCUGUAACCCUGGCCUCAGCCACUAUUGCUAGUGCCAGGAUUAUUGCCAGAACCUCCUAACUGGCUUUCCUGCUUCCCCUCCCUCCCAACCAGUCUGGUCUUGGUGCAGCAUUGAAACAUUGACCAGAUCAAGUCAGUCCUCUGCUCAAAACCUUCCACGUCCUACCUAUUUCACGCAAAGACAAUUUCCGUGUGACCGGUUACAAGGGCAUUCACAGCAUACCCCUUCCCCCUUGUACUGUUACCUCUUCUUUGUCCCCACCUUUCCUCUGCUCCAUUGACACUAGCCUCCUUGCUGCUCCUCAAACAUGGAAGAUGAGCUUCUGCUUCAAGGCCUUGCAACUCUUUCCUCUUGGCCUAGAAUGCUCUUCCCCCAUUUAUCCUCACGGAUCAUCCCUUCAUCUUCUUCAGACCUGGACUCAAAUGUCACUUUUUCAUUAAGGGCCUCCCUGACCACAGUAUUUACCAAUGUUAAGCACUCUCCCUCUCCACCCCACUCUCCUACAGUCUCUAUCACUUCCUUUAAUUUCUCUCUAGCGCCAUCUCCUUCCGAUACACAUAUGUAUUACUUAUCUGUCUGCUGUCGGUUUCCUGCUAGUAUGUAACAACAGGAGCAUGAGGAUUUCUGUCUUGUUGACUGCUAUAUCCCCGGUGUCAAGAACAAUGCCUAGUAAAUAGUAAGAGUUUAGUUACUAUUUGCGGAACGAACAUAGGAGUUAUGUCAGUCCCUGUCACACACUCAAGCUUCAAAGAGAUGGGAACCACAUCUUAACUAUCUUUGUAAUAAAUGACUGACUAAAUGGAAGAAAGAAGAACGGAUCUUCAGUUUAAUGAAGGUACUUACUGAAGGCAAUGCAUUCAAUUGUCCUUUUCAUUUUUAAUGCAAAUACUUGCUCUCCCCUGAACAAAUCAGGUCAGCUAUUCCCAAACAAUGUUACCAACUGCCUUUUCUUCCUUUCUUAAAUUUUCCCUCAAUCAAGAGCAAAGAUUACAAUAGGCAGAGCGUGCAAUAAAAAUAUAGUGAUUAAACAAUGCUUACCAAAUCAAAAAGAGGAAAUAUUCAAACCUUGAGAGGUAAUACAAACAUUGUUGCACAACUCACUUAUGAUUUUUCUUGUCCCAAGAAAGGUUAAAGAAACAGAUAUGACUCAGAAGGAAGGAAAAAACCAACAGAUAUGUUAGUUUAAUCAUAUGAUUUCUAAAAUACACUCAAUAAAUGAGGGCAAAUUUUGACCCUUCUGAUAUGAA